RNAcentral lists this ribosomal RNA (253 nucleotides) under uncultured bacterium. Its description in RNAcentral is "partial 16S ribosomal RNA". It matches the Rfam family "Bacterial small subunit ribosomal RNA", at positions 524 to 776 of the family's 1533-position model. The record is from RNAcentral.
UACGUAGGGGGCAAGCGUUGUCCGGAUUUAUUGGGCGUAAAGAGCGUGUAGGCGGCCAGGUAGGUCUGCUGUGAAAACUCGAGGCUCAACCUCGAGACGUCGGCGGAAACCAUCUGGCUAGAGUCCGGAAGAGGAGAGUGGAAUUCCUGGUGUAGCGGUGAAAUACGUAGAGAUUGGGAAGAACACCAGUGGCGAAGGCGGCUAUCUGGACGGUUUCUGACGCUAAGACGCGAAAGCGUGGGGAGCAAACAGG